Salvia splendens (bonfire salvia) is the source of this 2032-nucleotide long non-coding RNA. RefSeq lists it as uncharacterized. NCBI's taxonomy places the organism in Eukaryota, Viridiplantae, Streptophyta, Magnoliopsida, Lamiales, Lamiaceae. The record is from RefSeq and is a predicted model, not a curated record. The transcript is spliced from 2 exons.
UUCCUCAUCGACACUUCACCAAGUAUCCCUUUUCUAAAUUCCUCAAAUCCCCAAAUUUGACGAAAGCAGCGGCGGGUCUUCCCUUCACUUCCCGCCGCUCUCUCCUUCUUCGCCGCCGGCCUGAAUCGCCGGGCUCCACCAGCGUGUGCUCUCUCCGACCGGCGCAUCUGAUUGUCGGCUUCUCACCUUCGAGCUCUUUCUCUCUCCGUUGAAGCCACGGAGGAGUUCUCGGCUCUCCGUCGCGCCGCGGCCGGCUAGCCGCGCUCCUCUGCGAUUUCCGUCUCCUCCUCCCGACGCCACCGAAUCGCCGGCACUCUCACUGUGUCGGCUCCCUCUCUCUCCGUCGAGCUCACUCUGUCGAGCUCCCCGGAAGACAGCGACGCCAUCGCCCCUCUCUCUAUUUCUUCCGGUCUCCGCCACACCUCUCGCUGCUGCCCACCGAGAUCGCUGCUGGACAGACGGACUGCUGUUCAGCCGGGAAAAUCUGCGACCGCCUCACAGUGCAGCCCUCUGUUGUCUCUGCUGCAGCGCCGUCUCCGGCCGCGCAGCGUCGCCGUGCAUCGCCUGUCGCCUCCAGCUAUGUGUCGGGUAGCCGGGAAACCCCGUAGUCAUUCGAUCGCUGCCGGAUAGCCCUAUGCACUAAGCUAAGCCCUCUAACUCCCAUCAUUUAGUUCAUUAUGUUAAGUUCCUCUUUGGACAGUAGCCUUGUGAGCUUAAAGUCUCUUGAACUUGAUUGUUGUGGUGAAACUUUGGUGCAUCUCUUGCUAUUGAAUUAGCUAAGCAGCUUAUGAUCGAUUUGUCUCUUAUUUGUGAAGUGAGAUUCCUAAAGCUCUAAGUUCUUGAGCUUUAGAAGUUCUAUUCUUGCUACUGUUGAGGCUUCUAAAUUUUCUAAGUUCUUGCCUAAACAUGGGAUUCUAUCAUGAUGCAAGGGUGGUGUCGUGGACUUUUUACCUUGGCUCGGUGAUUCCUCUUGGUUUGGUGGGCUGCGUCCUGCCCCUGCUACUCCUCCACUCCUUGUGCAGCUCCUUAUGUUGUGUGAAUAUUGGUGUCGAAUGGUGUGGAGGGGUUUUUAUAGGAUGGCUUUGGUGUACUUUGAUGAAUUACAUGGCUGACAUUGUAGUUGAUUCACUUGUAGGACUAAGUCUUGGUGUUACUUGUAGUAUUAUGCACUUUGCCAUUUAUUUCUUCUUGUUCCUACAUGACUACCUAGUACAACACCUUACUAGUCAUUUAAUUGCUUUGUUUGUAUUUUUUGUUUGCAGGUGGGGUUGGAACCUUGGGCUGCCAAGCUGCUGUCCUCGACGGGCUUGCUGCCUCGGGCCCAAUGGGCUGAUCGGAUAGGGCCGUGGUGGAUUGCGACUUGGGCUCGGGAGAAGAAACCCAAAGUGCAAGCCAUACUAGACUUUAUUUCCUUAAGCUUUUGGUCCAUUCUAGAGUAUUUGUACUAGUAUAUUCAACAUCAUAAAUCACCCAGACAUCGCGGGCCAUGGGUUGAUUGCGGUCCGAGAAUAAGGUGGAGACAUGGCAAGGAGUCAAGUCGGAUUCAGAGGUUUGAUUCAAAUUGGAAUUUCACUAUGAAGCUAAAAUCCAAAUCCACUCCUCAGACCAUCAUUGUCUUCAUCGUCGAAAGAGCUUCGCGGGGUAUCUUGCAUGCCUCAAUUAGAACCCGGAUGAGGAAGUUAUGAUCGUUUUAAGAAAGCAGCGCAAUGCAGAAUGAAACGUGCGGGCAGGCGAUUUUGCAAGGGAAAACGCCCAAUCGGGCGUUUUGACAGUUUUUGGUCGCGAACUCCCGAGAGUUCGCCCGAUCAGGCGUUUUGCAUGAGGAAAAACGUCUGACCGGGCUUUUUGCGCGACUUGCGUUUUUGGACACUUUUUGUGUCUUUUAUUAAGCACUUUUUUUCUCUUGUAUAAAUACCCAUGUCUGGGGUUUUUGUGGGCAGACUUUGAAUAUUAUUGAAGAACAAAGAUUCUAUUGUGAGCACCCAUCUUCAUCAUUGAAGAUUUAUCCAAAAUCCCUUGUGGUUGCAUUUAA